UCAGCACAUGGUUCAGCAUGCCGU
RNAcentral lists this small RNA (24 nucleotides) under Bombyx mori (domestic silkworm). Its description in RNAcentral is "ovarian small RNA-25654". The record is from RNAcentral. Lineage: Eukaryota; Metazoa; Arthropoda; Insecta; Lepidoptera; Bombycidae.